RNAcentral lists this long non-coding RNA (229 nucleotides) under Anser brachyrhynchus (Pink-footed goose). RNAcentral's name for it is "lncRNA (ENSABRG00000000957.1)". Lineage: Eukaryota; Metazoa; Chordata; Aves; Anseriformes; Anatidae. The record is from RNAcentral.
CUCUGUUCAGCUCUUCAAGUGGUUGUGGCUUGGAGUGAUCUUGGUUGCUUCUGGAUUUGUCACACAGCACAUUCUAUUGGGAAGACAUCUCUGCUUCUAAAAAGCACAUGCAUUAACUGCCUGAUUCAUGUGGUGACAUGUGGCAUAUCCAAAUGUGUUAUGGAUCUCCCAGGAAUAAAAACAACAUAGCAAAAUCAUCACCUUGGGAUGUUCAUUGAGUGAAUAUUUU